AGGACGAACGCUGGCGGCGUGCUUAACACAUGCAAGUCGAGCGGAAAGGCCCUUCGGGGUACUCGAGCGGCGAACGGGUGAGUAACACGUGAGUAACCUGCCCCUAGCUUCGGGAUAGCUCCGGGAAACCGGAAUUAAUACCGGAUACGACAACGGCCGACAUCGGCCGUGGUGGAAAGAUUUAUCGGCUAGGGAUGGGCUCGCGGCCUAUCAGCUUGUUGGUGGGGUAACUGCCUACCAAGGCGACGACGGGUAGCCGGCCUGAGAGGGCGACCGGCCACACUGGGACUGAGACACGGCCCAGACUCCUACGGGAGGCAGCAGUGGGGAAUAUUGCGCAAUGGGCGAAAGCCUGACGCAGCGACGCCGCGUGGGGGAUGAAGGCCUUCGGGUUGUAAACCCCUUUCGGCAGGGACGAAGCGAAAGUGACGGUACCUGCAGAAGAAGCGCCGGCUAACUACGUGCCAGCAGCCGC
RNAcentral lists this ribosomal RNA (475 nucleotides) under uncultured bacterium. RNAcentral describes it as "SSU rRNA". It matches the Rfam family "Bacterial small subunit ribosomal RNA", at positions 26 to 518 of the family's 1533-position model. The record is from RNAcentral.